RNAcentral lists this ribosomal RNA (1355 nucleotides) under Lyctodon sp. NLG-2014. Its description in RNAcentral is "partial 16S ribosomal RNA". The record is from RNAcentral. Lineage: Eukaryota; Metazoa; Arthropoda; Insecta; Coleoptera; Bostrichidae.
AAUACCCUAUUAUUCUGAAUGUAAAUUUUAAUAUUAGUAUAAGUUAAGUUCUUGAAAGUAAAAAAAUUUGGCGGUAUUUUAGUCUUUUCAGAGGAACCUGCUCUUUAAACGAUAUUCCACGAUUAAUAAAACUUAUUUUUUGUUUGUAUAUCGUCGUAGUUGAUUAUUUUACAAGAAUGUUAAUAGUCUUUGUCUUUGAGGAUGGAAAUCAGAUCAAGGUGCAGUUUAAAUAAGUAGAGGUGGGUUACAAUAAGUUUAUUUAUACGGAUUUUAAUAUAAAAUAUUAUUUGAAGGUGGAUUUGAAAGUAAUUUUGUUUAUUUAAAUAAAAUGAUUUAGCUCUAGAAUAUGUACAUAUCGCCCGUCACUCUCAUAAAAAUUGAGAUAAGUCGUAACAUAGUAGAUGUACUGGAAAGUGUAUCUGGUUUGUCAAAUUAGAGCUUUGAUAAGCGUUUUAUUUACAUUAAAGAGUUAAUUGGUAAUCAGUUUAAUGAAUUUAUGAAUUUAUUUUUUUAUAUUUUAUUUUAUAGUUAAAAAAAGUAUUUUAUUCAUUUAUUUUAAUUAAUUUGAUUUUUUAAUAUUUAGUACUGUGAAGGAGGUUGUAAAAAUUUUAAUAAGAAGUUUAUUUAAUGUACCUUGUGUAUCAGGGUUUAUUAAUUAAUAAUUAGGUAUUUAAUUUUCCCGAAUUUUAAAGAGUUAACUAAAUUUAUGUUUUAUUGUUAAAUAAAUAUUCUUAAUAUUUAGUUAGAAAUGAAAUGUUAUUCGUUUUUUAAUAUAUCUGGUUCUUGAAGAAAUAAAUUUAAUUUACUGUCUAAUAAUAAAUUAUUUAUUUUAAUAAAUAAUUUAUUUUAUAUUUAUAUAUAUAAAGGGAUAAGCUUUUAUAUAAAUUUUUAUAAAAUAAAUAUUGUUGCUUUGUAGUAGGGUUAGAAAUUUCUUUCUUUAGUUUGUUAUAAUUAAUAAGGGGUUUUAUUUUAUUUAUUUAUUUUUAAGUUUUUUAUUUAGGAAAUUUAUUUAAUUUUAAUUUAUUUGUUAUAAUGAUUUAAUUAGUAUAAAGUUAUGUAAAAUUAGUUUUUAAUUUUAGGUAAGAAAAAGGAAUUAGGCAAUUUAUUCUUUUUGCCUGUUUAUUAAAAACAUGUCCUUUUGAUAAAAAUAUAAGGUCUGACCUGCCCUAUGAUUAAUUAAAUGGCCGCAGUAUUUUGACUGUGCGAAGGUAGCAUAAUCAUUAGUUUCUUGAUUAGGAACUGGAAUGAAUGGUUUGACAAAAAAGAUACUGUCUCUUUUUUAUUUUUAGAAUUUUAUUUUUGAGUUAAAAAGCUUAAAUUUUUUUAAAAGACAGAGAAGACCCUAUAGAUUUUUA